GGUCCUAUAGUGUAGCUCGGUUAUCACUUUCGGUUUUGAUCCGAACAACAUCAGUUCGAAUCUGGUUAGGACCU
This is a transfer RNA of Lodderomyces elongisporus NRRL YB-4239, 74 nucleotides long. It matches the Rfam family "tRNA". Rfam says of the family: Transfer RNA (tRNA) molecules are approximately 80 nucleotides in length. Lineage: Eukaryota; Fungi; Ascomycota; Pichiomycetes; Serinales; Debaryomycetaceae. The record is from Rfam.